RNAcentral lists this ribosomal RNA (242 nucleotides) under uncultured Actinomycetales bacterium. RNAcentral's name for it is "partial 16S ribosomal RNA". It matches the Rfam family "Bacterial small subunit ribosomal RNA", at positions 88 to 334 of the family's 1533-position model. Lineage: Bacteria; Bacillati; Actinomycetota; Actinomycetes; Actinomycetales. The record is from RNAcentral.
UACUCGAGUGGCGAACGGGUGAGUAACACGUUGGUGAUCUGCCUUGCACUCUGGAUAAGCUUGGGAAACUGGGUCUAAUACCGGAUAGGAACCGUCUUUAGUGUGGUGGUUGGAAAGUUUUUUCGGUGCAAGAUGAGCUCGCGGCCUAUCAGCUUGUUGGUGGGGUAAUGGCCUACCAAGGCGUCGACGGGUAGCCGGCCUGAGAGGGUGUACGGCCACAUUGGGACUGAGAUACGGCCCAG